RNAcentral lists this ribosomal RNA (305 nucleotides) under uncultured bacterium. RNAcentral describes it as "bacterial SSU rRNA". It matches the Rfam family "Bacterial small subunit ribosomal RNA", at positions 334 to 656 of the family's 1533-position model. The record is from RNAcentral.
GCUUCCUACGGGACGCAGCAGUGGGGGAUAUUGCACAAUGGGGGCAACCCUGAUGCAGCGACGCCGCGUGAGCGAUAGAGUACUUCGGUACGUAAAGCCCUAUCAGCAGGAAAGAAAAUGACGGUACCUGACUAAGAAGCCCCGGCUAACUACGUGCCAGCAGCCGCGGUAAUACGUAGGGGGCAAGCGUUAUCCGGAUUUACUGGGUGUAAAGGGAGCGUAGACGGCAGUGCAAGUCCGGAGUGAAAGCCCGGGGCUCAACCCUGGGACUGCUCUGGAAACUGUAAAGCUGGAGUGCGGGCGGG